RNAcentral lists this ribosomal RNA (446 nucleotides) under uncultured bacterium. Its description in RNAcentral is "partial 16S ribosomal RNA". It matches the Rfam family "Bacterial small subunit ribosomal RNA", at positions 354 to 796 of the family's 1533-position model. The record is from RNAcentral.
GUAAGGAAUAUUGGGCAAUGGAGGCAACUCUGACCCAGCCAUGCCGCGUGAAGGAUUGACGGCCCUCUGGGUUGUAAACUUCUUUUGUACGGGAAUAACCCUCCGAACGUGUUCGGAGCUGAAGGUACCGUAAGAAUAAGGAUCGGCUAACUCCGUGCCAGCAGCCGCGGUAAUACGGAGGAUCCAAGCGUUAUCCGGAUUUACUGGGUUUAAAGGGUGCGUAGGCGGAUUGAUAAGUCAGUGGUGAAAUCCUGCAGCUUAACUGCAGAACUGCCAUUGAUACUGCCAGUCUGGAGUAUGGUUGAGGUAGCUGGAAUGUGUCAUGUAGCGGUGAAAUGCUUAGAGAUGACACAGAACACCGACGGCGAAGGCAGGUUACCAACCCAUUACUGACGCUGAGGCACGAAAGCGUGGGGAUCAAACAGGAUUAGAAACCCUGGUAGUCC